This is a long non-coding RNA of Olea europaea var. sylvestris, 917 nucleotides long. RefSeq lists it as uncharacterized. The record is from RefSeq and is a predicted model, not a curated record. Lineage: Eukaryota; Viridiplantae; Streptophyta; Magnoliopsida; Lamiales; Oleaceae. The transcript is spliced from 2 exons.
GUUUGGUGCGUGCGGUGUUGGCACAUUAUUCCCAAAUUCAACAAAAACCAAUCUGGAAAGUUUGAGUGAAAAAAUCGGUGAGGUCGGAACUUCCAGUCGCCGCGAAUCUCGACACCAGCGAACCUCCCAUAAAAUCUGACAGGUCUUGGCUCAUUAUCCCUAAAAUCAAAGAAAAAUGGUGGGGGUUGGCAAGCAUUCCAAAUCGAACCAUUCGCGAACUGCAUCGCUGCUGGCCGCUACGUACUAGAACACCGAAGUCGUCAUCUUGCCAGAAUAGGAGGAAAGAAUUCCGGAAUUUGUCAUAGUUGCAGAUCGAAGGGACAUUUCUUCGAUGAAUGUCGAAGUAAGAUCGCUGCCUUGUUUGCAAGAGUGGAUUCCAGAAGUGCUUUGAGGUGGAGAGAGAGACCGAUAACAAAGGAAAACUAUUCAAAUGCUGUAGUCGUAAAUGCGAUUUUUGGAGUGGGUUGGAGAAGAAGAAUCAAGUGGUGAAUCAAGUGCCGUCGAUAGCAAGGCAAAUCCUGUAUCGAAAGAAUCAGUGUCGGAUUUGUCGUGCAUGUUUCAAUAUCAAAUUCAUCUCCCCGACGAAGAAGAGGUCCAAAUUUCGAUGAAUAUGAACAUGACAAUUCACAACAUGGAGAAGAAUGAGAAAUGAAAGUGGCCGGCUGCAUUAGUAGCCCCAUUUUUUAAUAAACGUUGAUGUUAUGUAUGUUUGCAUUUGUACGACUCUUCGUAGUGACCUUUUGGGUUUGAAAUUCGGCCCUCUCCAUAUUUCCUUCUUUUGGAAGGUCUUGUGGUUUGAAAUUUAGUUCUUUCUAAUUGUAGCUUUAAAAUUCCCUUAAUUUUUCUACUGGCAUGCUGUAAGACAGAACCGAUAUUGAUAUCAAUUUAUUUGAGCUUGAAUUGACUUAACUUUUAUA